RNAcentral lists this ribosomal RNA (256 nucleotides) under uncultured bacterium. RNAcentral describes it as "partial 16S ribosomal RNA". It matches the Rfam family "Bacterial small subunit ribosomal RNA", at positions 524 to 776 of the family's 1533-position model. The record is from RNAcentral.
UACAGAGGUGGCAAGCGUUGUUCGGAAUUACUGGGCGUAAAGGGCGCGUAGGCGGCCUUCUAAGUCAGACGUGAAAUCCCCCGGCUUAACCUGGGAACUGCGUCUGAUACUGGAGGGCUUGAGUAUGGGAGAGGGAUGUAGAAUUCCAGGUGUAGCGGUGAAAUGCGUAGAUAUCUGGAGGAAUACCGGUGGCGAAGGCGGGCAUCCUGGACCAUUACUGACGCUGGAGGCGCGAAAAGCUAGGGGAGCAAACGGG